Molecule: long non-coding RNA, 2189 nt
Organism: Chelonia mydas (Green sea turtle)
Lineage: Eukaryota; Metazoa; Chordata; Testudines; Cheloniidae
Exons: 7
Source: RefSeq, a predicted model, not a curated record
UUUCGUCCCCGCGGGCGUCUCUCCACCUCCGCCCAGGCCAGGGUAACGGUGCCGCCGUCACCAGGGGAGCGAGUGUGUCAUAAAUCUACUUCCUGACGCCCGCUCCCGCGUGGGUCGGGUCGGGUCGGGUCGGGUCGGGGGGCCGCGAGGAAGCUGCCCCGGUUUGGUUCCGUGGCUUGGGCUGCGGAGCGCGGGCUCCCCUCGGGGCGGCCCCUGAGCCCGGGGGCGCUGGGCAGGUGCGCUGUCAGUGAGGUGACAGACCUACCCAGAGGGAAGGGCAGUCUGGGAUUUGAUGCAAGUGUCACAACUCUGGGGCACCCCUGGGGAACGGCAAGGCCAGACCGUUGGCAGAAGGUCGCGCUGGGUGAGGCUGGUAAGCCUGCCUCACAAAACUGGUUUGUUACCCUGGCAACUUAUCACACCCUCGGCCCUCGGCUUCUUCGUCAGGGUGGUGCUGUGCUAACCGCAGCGUGGUCUUGAGAGAGGAUUGCAGCAGUUAAAUCCAGACUGUGGAGGGGGGCUUGGGCCCUGUGCUGCUCCUGCCCUACCCCAUGGGGUGGGCCCUGUGUAACUGCAGGAGGAGCCAACAGUCAGUGAUGGCUCUGGCUUCUGGGUUGGUCUGCUGCUUCUUUACUAUAAAAAGAGAGAAAAAAUGAAGAGGCAACACUGCCACUGAGAUCCGUCUGCAGCUGAGGAUGGUUGAGAAGGAACUGAAGGGUUAGGUCGUGCGUGUACUACAUGAGGCAAAAACAGCACUGCAAGACGACUUUUGUGCUUGUGCACCCCGACUGAACACUGCUAUGGAAAAUCUCUGAUCUGUGGCGCAGGGACGCACCGACACCUAAAGUGGAGCACCCACAGGUACACACAUCUUGAAGAACCAUCGUUACUGCACGAGGCAUGAUCAUCAGACGCUUGGCAAAGAUUCUCAAAGGUGUGGAGAGGCUGAAGGGGAGCACUCUGUAUUGCCUCUGUCUUCCGAGAACUGAACUGAAGACACUAGGGAGGCUCUGGCCAACUCUGUGGCUGAGGAGUGGGACUUCAAUGCUGGAUGAGCUCUGGACUCGGGUGAACUAUUGACUUACCUAGUGCUUUGAAAAGUAGCCUGGUCCAGUCAUGGAGUUGUCUCUGCCUCCAGUGCUGAGGAAGCCCUCAUGGAGCUCUCAGGGAGGAAGAGUUUCAAAUGAGACUCUGUUUUGGGGUUCUUUUAGAAAAGGUGCAGCAUAUAGAACACUUGUGUGGUCUAGGCACUUACCCCAGACAGAGAAGGCACUUUGUGUGUCCAUCAUUGAUAGGAAUGGCUCCCUCACAAGAGGGGCAGAUCUUGAAUCCUGGGGAGUAUGACUCCACCAUGUUCAAGGGGUGUUGUGGUUGGUGCACAGAGGCAGCACAAGGAUUUGAAGACCUCAGUUAUCAAUCUAAGAUUUUAUUUUAUUGCCAAUGGGCUGAAAACAACAACAAAUUAGAACUAACAACUGGAAGAAUAAAGUUGCACAGUAUGUGGAAAUGCAGACACUGCCAGUGUUCCAUCUUGCAGUCAUGGGCAGCAAGAAGGAAUGGGAGAGCAGUUGAAGCUGCCCUACCCUUUUUUCCCUCUGCUUUGGACGGCACAACUGUGGCCCAACUGACACUGCUGUUCAGAAUGAUUCCAGUCUCAUGGGGUAGGACACACACGCACCGGAAGUGGAAUACAUGUGGACAAUCUAACAACCAGAGUUCUGAUUUUUGUCUUAUACCUUACAAUGCACCCAACGUAUAUGUAUAUUGCAAUUUAAUGUUCUUGCUGCCAUGUGUUGUUUCUCUCACCCCCAUCUCCUUAUGUUGUUACAACACUACAGGAAAUCUCCUUUAGGGUAUGCUCCUCUUUUGCUCAGGAGGGGAAAAGGAAUGGAAUGAUCAGAUAUGUGUGAAGAGAUCAGCCACUCAUAAGCACAUAGCCAGACAGCCCUGGACCUUAGAAACCUUCUGAAGAAUCCUGCAGUUUUCAUCUUUUCCGAAGAUCCGCUAUAUCAUCCGCAGAAGUGAGACCAACAGAGAUCCGCAGGGAGAGAUGAACAUAACCUCCAAGGAAAAGGGAAAUGCAAGAGAUCCAUAACAAAAUGCAAAGGCGUUUUCCUGGCCUCUUGAGAAACAAGACAGCUGAUUGAUGCACAUGUUGACCCAAACAAGAGCGACGUUUGUGCCAGGCA